This 742-nucleotide long non-coding RNA is filed under the name Olea europaea subsp. europaea. Lineage: Eukaryota; Viridiplantae; Streptophyta; Magnoliopsida; Lamiales; Oleaceae. The record is from RNAcentral.
UCACGAUGCAUUUCAUACAAAGUCAAAUCCCUUUAUAUAUCUGAAUGUAUAGUGGGAGGAAAGUAGCUAAGAAAAAUCUGAACGAAGUGGCCUAUGUUCUUGUGAGGUUCCUUUUAGAGAACUUUUCAAAUCCAUAAAUUUUAGACUAAUAAUAAUAGAAAAGGUAAUAUUACUACAUCUUAUAUCACUUCAAUACAUAUAACAAAGUGUUACAGACUUCAUCCAUACCCUUAAAACUUCCAGGUGAUCACUAGUAUUUACACAACCGACUCCACUUUUGUGUCAUACAAAGGAAGCAUACUUAUUUGUGCCUAUAUACAUCCUAUUACAUAUAAAACACAGUGCAUAAAAGAGAGCCUUCGUUACAUAUAAAACACAGUGCAUAGAAUCUAAGCCACAGCUUGAGAUUUCCUCCUAUAAUCCUUGACCAUUACACCUUCGUUAAACUGCAACACGUCAUAGCAAUUAAUAUUCUCUUCUGGUUUUACCUGAUGAACACGAGCCUGUUGCAUAAGAACUGGACCUUCUAUUUUCUUGUGAAUAAGGUUUUCGUUGAUUAGACCUCGUGUUUUUUCCAAAAUAUGCAUCAAGUAUGGCGAAGCCUUCUUUUCCUAUUCUUGCAAGAUCUGCCUUGGACGACAUAUUUUAAGGUUGCAGAAAUGAGUAUGCCAAGGAGUUACAAGGAAUUGUUUUGUGUUGUUCUUGAUGCAUUUGAUACAAGUGACGGCCCUUUAUAUGGAAA